AGAGUUUGAUCAUGGCUCAGAUUGAACGCUGGCGGCAGGCCUAACACAUGCAAGUCGAACGGUAACAGGAAGAAGCUUGCUUCUUUGCUGACGAGUGGCGGACGGGUGAGUAAUGUCUGGGAAACUGCCUGAUGGAGGGGGAUAACUACUGGAAACGGUAGCUAAUACCGCAUAACGUCGCAAGACCAAAGAGGGGGACCUUCGGGCCUCUUGCCAUCGGAUGUGCCCAGAUGGGAUUAGCUAGUAGGUGGGGUAACGGCUCACCUAGGCGACGAUCCCUAGCUGGUCUGAGAGGAUGACCAGCCACACUGGAACUGAGACACGGUCCAGACUCCUACGGGAGGCAGCAGUGGGGAAUAUUGCACAAUGGGCGCAAGCCUGAUGCAGCCAUGCCGCGUGUAUGAAGAAGGCCUUCGGGUUGUAAAGUACUUUCAGCGGGGAGGAAGGGAGUAAAGUUAAUACCUUUGCUCAUUGACGUUACCCGCAGAAGAAGCACCGGCUAACUCCGUGCCAGCAGCCGCGGUAAUACGGAGGGUGCAAGCGUUAAUCGGAAUUACUGGGCGUAAAGCGCACGCAGGCGGUUUGUUAAGUCAGAUGUGAAAUCCCCGGGCUCAACCUGGGAACUGCAUCUGAUACUGGCAAGCUUGAGUCUCGUAGAGGGGGGUAGAAUUCCAGGUGUAGCGGUGAAAUGCGUAGAGAUCUGGAGGAAUACCGGUGGCGAAGGCGGCCCCCUGGACGAAGACUGACGCUCAGGUGCGAAAGCGUGGGGAGCAAACAGGAUUAGAUACCCUGGUAGUCCACGCCGUAAACGAUGUCGACUUGGUGGCUGUGCCCUUGAGGCGUGGCUUCCGGAGCUAACGCGUUAAGUCGACCGCCUGGGGAGUACGGCCGCAAGGUUAAAACUCAAAUGAAUUGACGGGGGCCCGCACAAGUGGUGGAGCAUGUGGUUUAAUUCGAUGCAACGCGAAGAACCUUACCUGGUCUUGACAUCCACGGAAGUUUUCAGAGAUGAGAAUGUGCCUUCGGGAACCGUGAGACAGGUGCUGCAUGGCUGUCGUCAGCUCGUGUUGUGAAAUGUUGGGUUAAGUCCCGCAACGAGCGCAACCCUUAUCCUUUGUUGCCAGCGGUCCGGCCGGGAACUCAAAGGAGACUGCCAGUGAUAAACUGGAGGAAGGUGGGGAUGACGUCAAGUCAUCAUGUCCCUUACGACCAGGGCUACACACGUGCUACAAUGGCGCAUACAAAGAGAAGCGACCUCGCGAGAGCAAGCGGACCUCAUAAAGUGCGUCGUAGUCCGGAUUGGAGUCUGCAACUCGACUCCAUGAGGUCGGAAUCGCUAGUAAUCGUGGAUCAGAGUGCCACGGUGAAUACGUUCCCGGGCCUUGUACACACCGCCCGUCACACCAUGGGAGUGGGUUGCAAAAGAAGUAGGUAGCUUAACCUUCGGGAGGGCGCUUACCACUUUGUGAUUCAUGACUGGGGUGAAGUCGUAACAAGGUA
RNAcentral lists this ribosomal RNA (1500 nucleotides) under metagenome. RNAcentral describes it as "bacterial SSU rRNA". It matches the Rfam family "Bacterial small subunit ribosomal RNA". The record is from RNAcentral.